Camellia sinensis is the source of this 480-nucleotide non-coding RNA. Lineage: Eukaryota; Viridiplantae; Streptophyta; Magnoliopsida; Ericales; Theaceae. The record is from RefSeq and is a predicted model, not a curated record.
AUAAGUAAUAUACACUUCCAUUCUUGUCUCUCUCCACAGGGCUUAUGAAUUUGUCUAAACCCUAGAACCCAGUGGUUGAAGCGCUGACCAAGAAUUAGCAGAAUUCGAAGCCAAACACUUUGAAUCCGAGUGAAGAACAAGGACUCAGAAGUGCUCCAAGCAAUAAUUGAGACCCAAGUUGAAAGAUAAAAGAUUAUUUCACAACAAAGCAAUGGAGAAAAAACCAGGGAUUACAUUGAAAAACCGUUCAGAAUCUGAAGCUCAACAAGGCCUAUGGCUUUCGCAUAACUUGAAUCUUCGAGACAACAAAACCAUGAAGUACCUUCCUCCCUCCCAGCGAGCAGGGCUGGCCCUGGGGUGAGGCGAUUGAGCCGGUCACCUUGGGCCCCCAAUUUUGAACAAAAUUUAGGGCCCCCAAUUAGGGGAGUGUAUCAUGUCAUGUUAUUUCAUAAUUAUUUUAAUAUUAGCUCAAUUUAUUUA